AGCGAACGCUGGCGGCAGGCCUAACACAUGCAAGUCGAACGAACUCUUCGGAGUUAGUGGCGGACGGGUGAGUAACACGUGGGAACGUGCCUUUAGGUUCGGAAUAACUCAGGGAAACUUGUGCUAAUACCGAAUGUGCCCUUCGGGGGAAAGAUUUAUCGCCUUUAGAGCGGCCCGCGUCUGAUUAGCUAGUUGGUGAGGUAAAGGCUCACCAAGGCGACGAUCAGUAGCUGGUCUGAGAGGAUGAUCAGCCACAUUGGGACUGAGACACGGCCCAAACUCCUACGGGAAGCAGCAGUGGGGAAUCUUGCGCAAUGGGCGAAAGCCUGACGCAGCCAUGCCGCGUGAAUGAUGAAGGUCUUUGGAUUGUAAAAUUCUUUCACCGGGGACGAUAAUGACGGUACCCGGAGAAGAAGCCCCGGCUAACUUCGUG
RNAcentral lists this ribosomal RNA (433 nucleotides) under uncultured bacterium. Its description in RNAcentral is "partial 16S ribosomal RNA". It matches the Rfam family "Bacterial small subunit ribosomal RNA", at positions 29 to 507 of the family's 1533-position model. The record is from RNAcentral.